CCCGUAGACGCAGCGACGCCGCGUGCGGGAAGAAGGCCUUCGGGUUGUAAACCGCUUUCAGGAGGGACGAAGCUACUCGGGUGAAUAGCCCAGAGGGUGACGGUACCUCCAGAAGAAGCCCCGGCUAACUACGUGCCAGCAGCCGCGGUAAUACGUAGGGGGCAAGCGUUGUCCGGAUUUAUUGGGCGUAAAGAGCGUGUAGGCGGCCAGGCAGGUCCGUUGUGAAAACUCGAGGCUCAACCUCGAGACGUCGAUGGAAACCGUCUGGCUAGAGUCCGGAAGAGGAGAGUGGAAUUCCUGGUGUAGCGGUGAAAUGCGCAGAUAUCAGGAAGAACACCUAUGGCGAAGGCAGCUCUCUGGGACGGUACUGACGCUGAGACGCGAAAGCGUGGGGAGCGAACAGGAUUAGAUACCCUGGUAGUCCACGCCGUAAACGAUGGGCGCUAGGUGUGGGGGGUGUCGACUCCCUCCGUGCCGAAGCUAACGCAUUAAGCGCCCCGCCUGGGGAGUACGGCCGCAAGGCUA
RNAcentral lists this ribosomal RNA (525 nucleotides) under uncultured Actinomycetes bacterium. Its description in RNAcentral is "bacterial SSU rRNA". It matches the Rfam family "Bacterial small subunit ribosomal RNA", at positions 379 to 896 of the family's 1533-position model. Lineage: Bacteria; Bacillati; Actinomycetota; Actinomycetes. The record is from RNAcentral.